UACGUAGGGGGCUAGCGUUGUCCGGAAUCAUUGGGCGUAACGCGCGUGUAGGCGGUCCGGUAAGUCCGCUGUGAAAGUCGGGGGCUCAACCCUCGGAUGCCGGUGGAUACUGUCGGGCUUGAGUACGGAAGAGGCGAGUGGAAUUCCUGGUGUAGCGGUGAAAUGCGCAGAUAUCAGGAGGAACACCAAUUGCGAAGGCAGCGCGCUGGGACGUUACUGACGCUGAGACGCGAAAGCGUGGGGAGCAAACAGG
This 253-nucleotide ribosomal RNA is filed under the name uncultured bacterium. RNAcentral describes it as "partial 16S ribosomal RNA". It matches the Rfam family "Bacterial small subunit ribosomal RNA", at positions 524 to 776 of the family's 1533-position model. The record is from RNAcentral.